AGUGCGAUCUCUGGUUUCUGGGUCCGCGGGCAACCGCGGGCCGGAGAAACCGGGUUCUUAUGGUCAAGCUACUAAGGGCGUACGGUGAAUGCCUUGGCGCCAGAAGUCGACGAAGGACGUGGUAAGCUGCGAUAAGCUUCGGUGAGCCGCAAACAGGCUUCGACCCGAAGAUUUCCGAAUGGGGAAACCCACCCCGGCUCAUCCCGGGGUAUCCCACGCUGAAUCCAUAGGCGUGCGGAAGGCAACGCAGGGAAGUGAACCAUCUCAGUACCUGCAGGAAGAGAAAUCAAACGAGAUUCCGCUAGUAGCGGCGAGCGAACGCGGACAUAGCCCAAACCAUCGUGCUUGCACGGUGGUGUUGUAGGGCCUGCCGGGCCGCAAGGCCGGCGAGUUACCAACCAGAUUGCUAGUCGAAUGCCCUGGAACGGGCAGCCAUAGCGGGUGACAGCCCCGUAGGCGAAAGCAUUCUGGCUCGCUGGGCAGGUUCCUGAGUACCGCGGGACACGAGAAAUCCCGUGGGAAUCCGGGAGGACCAUCUUCCAAGGCUAAAUACUCUCUGGCGACCGAUAGUGAACCAGUACCGUGAGGGAAAGGUGAAAAGCACCCCUGCGAGGGGAGUGAAAUAGUACCUGAAACCGUAUGCCUACAAGCAGUGGGAGGGCUAUGGCCGGGGUUCGCCCUGGUCACGCCUGACCGCGUGCCUUUUGCAUAAUGAGCCGGCUAGUUA
Molecule: ribosomal RNA, 727 nt
Filed under: uncultured Acidobacteriota bacterium
Lineage: Bacteria; Pseudomonadati; Acidobacteriota
Description: bacterial LSU rRNA
Rfam family: Bacterial large subunit ribosomal RNA
Source: RNAcentral